CUGAUCUGUAAUAAAGGAGAGAGACUGAGGAAAUGCAGGCAUCCACAGACAUUGUCUCUUCUUUCAUUUUUGGGAAAUGAUAUAUAUACCUAACCCUUUCCUGCCAUAGGUAAACUCCACUUUAGCAGAAGUAUAUAAGAACACCCUGAAGUUGGAAUGGCAAACAUUUCAUGCCUUAUUACAGUGCAUUGGCAGGAUUGGCCCUCUCCGCUUGGUGCCGCCAUACGGGCACACGGUGGUCAGGCGUGGUAAUGCAGACCUGAGACUCAUCCCUGAACAUGGUGAUGCCACUCGUCAUCAGUCCGUGCCUCCUGGUUACAGCACCACUCCAAACCCAGCCCUCUCUGCGCUGGUGUUAACGGCAGCCUAGGCAUAGGAUGGUGACCCCAUAGUCCGGCUGGUGCCAGUCAUUGAGACACGGUGCGGGAUGAGAUGGAGUGUUGUAGAGAGUCCAGUACCUGUGUCCGGAUGGCGGGUGCAGAUGUCAUGGGGUUCUGUAAUGCUUGGUGCACAACAUGACAAUCUUUCCUUGGUGUGGUCUGUCUUGGAUGACCGGAACCUUCACAACGUGUGUAGGUGCCCUCACGUGCCCAUUGGUUCUAACAUCAGGUGACUGUGACAUCUGCAUGCCCACAUGCCGGGCACCUGCACGAAAUGACCACCCGGCCUCAUGCCAACCCACAAUGUGACCCCUAUCAAACUCCGUCAAGUGCUGGUAAUGUUAUCUAAUGCGUCUACGAGGCAUCCUGUGUGACUGGUGACUAGACAUGCCAGCUCCUUGCAAAUCUAACCAUUUACAUACCCAUGGCUGGUCUGAACAUGCACCGAAUUACAUCCAAGUCGGACCACCUCUAAACACAAUACAACAUGAGCCCAUUUUAUCCAUCAUGAAAUGUAAAGGAAAAAAUACUAAGAUGCAAUCUGACAUUUAAACCACAAAUCUGGUUGGAAAAUAAUAAAACAACAUAAAUAACAGUUAACAAGUUAUUUUCCUUAAAAAAAAAGAUAUCUUCUGUUAUGUAACUUUACAACUGGUAUGUGAAGUGUCGGGAAUGAAGAGAUGAUUAAAAACCUGCAUUUGCCAUGGUUGUGUUUGUCUAAGAAACUGAUUUGCUUUUAAAAUUUCAACAGCAGUGCGUUUCCCAGAAUCUCCAAAAUUUCCCAAUCUCUUCCAGGAUGUGAUGUUGUCACACUGUCAUGCCGAAAGACCUUUGCUUUAAUGCAAGCCUCCGACUGAUCGUUACAUGACACCAUAGACCGUUGGAAGCUAGAAUCUGAAUAUGGAAAAGGAAAGAAGUAAGUGACAAAUGUAGAUCAAAUCAUCAUUCAGAAAAGGAGACAAAUGGCCAUAGGUAUUUAACACUAGGAAAUUAACACUGGGAAAUGAACACUGGGAAAUUUACACUAGUUUUUCUUUUGUAAGCAGAAGGUUUUUAUUCCAGGGCUUAAAAACAUCAGACACCUUUAAAUUUGUGGGGAAGAUAACAUAAAAAUAUGUA
Molecule: long non-coding RNA, 1499 nt
Organism: Brienomyrus brachyistius
Lineage: Eukaryota; Metazoa; Chordata; Actinopteri; Osteoglossiformes; Mormyridae
Exons: 3
Source: RefSeq, a predicted model, not a curated record